This 497-nucleotide ribosomal RNA is filed under the name uncultured bacterium. Its description in RNAcentral is "partial 16S ribosomal RNA". It matches the Rfam family "Bacterial small subunit ribosomal RNA", at positions 28 to 507 of the family's 1533-position model. The record is from RNAcentral.
GAUGAACGCUGGCGGCGUGCCUAAUACAUGCAAGUCGAGCGAACAGACGAGGAGCUUGCUCCUCUGACGUUAGCGGCGGACGGGUGAGUAACACGUGGAUAACCUACCUAUAAGACUGGGAUAACUUCGUGAAACCGGAGCUCAUACCGGGUAAUAUAUUGAACCGCAUGGUUAAAUAUUGAAAGACGGUUUUGCUGUCACUUAUAGAUGAAUCCGCGCCGCAUUAGCUAGUUGGUAAGGUAACGGCUUACCAAGGCAACGAUGCGUAGCCGACCUGAGAGGGUGAUCGGCCACACUGGAACUGAGACACGGUCCAGACUCCUACGGGAGGCAGCAGUAGGGAAUCUUCCGCAAUGGGCGAAAGCUUGACGGAGCAACGCCGCGUGAGUGAUGAAGGUCUUCGGAUCGUAAAACUCUGUUAUUAGGGAAGAACAAAUGUGUAAGUAACUAUGCACGUCUUGACGGUACCUAAUCAGAAAGCCACGGCUAACUACGUG